AAGUCUGUGUCUGUAAACAUCCCCGACUGGAAGCUGUAAGCCACAGCCAAGCUUUCAGUCAGAUGUUUGCUGCCACCGGCUC
MicroRNA precursor from Cricetulus griseus (Chinese hamster), 82 nucleotides. Ensembl annotates it as microRNA 30d. Its record names the gene Mir30d. Lineage: Eukaryota; Metazoa; Chordata; Mammalia; Rodentia; Cricetidae. The record is from Ensembl.